UGACACAGCGACGCCGCGUGGGGGAUGAAGGCCUCGGGUUGUAAACCCUUUUCUCAGGGAAGAAUAAUGACGGUACCUGGGGAAUAAGUCUUGGCUAACUACGUGCCAGCAGCCGCGGUAAUACGUAGGAGGCGAGCGUUAUCCGGAUUUACUGGGCGUAAAGAGGGCGUAGGCAGUUUUUCAAGUCGAUUGUAAAAUCUCCCGGCUUAACUGGGAGGGGCCAGUCGAUACUGUUAGACUAGAGAGCAGCAGGGGGAGGUGGAAUUCCCGGUGUAGUGGUGAAAUGUGUAGAUAUCGGGAGGAACACCAGUGGCGAAGGCGGCCUCCUAGGCUGUUUCUGACGCUGAGGUCCGAAAGCGUGGGGAGCAAACAGGAUCAGAUACCCUGGUAGUCCACGCUGUAAACAAUGGACACUAGGUAUAGGGAGUAUCGACCCUCUCUGUGCCGAAGCUAACGCAUUAAGUGUCCCGCCUGG
RNAcentral lists this ribosomal RNA (475 nucleotides) under uncultured bacterium Seq6(Z1). RNAcentral's name for it is "bacterial SSU rRNA". It matches the Rfam family "Bacterial small subunit ribosomal RNA", at positions 384 to 876 of the family's 1533-position model. Lineage: Bacteria; Bacillati; Chloroflexota. The record is from RNAcentral.